UCUGUCUCAAAAAAAAAAAAAAAAAUUGGAAUGAUACAGAGGAGGUUAGCAUGGCCUAUGUGCAAUGAUGACAUGAAAAUUUGUGAAGUGUUCCAUAUUUUG
Molecule: small nuclear RNA, 102 nt
Organism: Nycticebus coucang (slow loris)
Lineage: Eukaryota; Metazoa; Chordata; Mammalia; Primates; Lorisidae
Source: RefSeq, a predicted model, not a curated record